GAUGAACGCUGGCGGCGUGCCUAAUACAUGCAAGUCGAGCGAACAGACGAGGAGCUUGCUCCUCUGACGUUAGCGGCGGACGGGUGAGUAACACGUGGAUAACCUACCUAUAAGACUGGGAUAACUUCGGGAAACCGGAGCUAAUACCGGAUAAUAUAUUGAACCGCAUGGUUCAAUAGUGAAAGACGGUUUUGCUGUCACUUAUAGAUGGAUCCGCGCCGCAUUAGCUAGUUGGUAAGGUAACGGCUUACCAAGGCGACGAUGCGUAGCCGACCUGAGAGGGUGACCGGCCACACUGGAACUGAGACACGGUCCAGACUCCUACGGGAGGCAGCAGUAGGGAAUCUUCCGCAAUGGGCGAAAGCCUGACGGAGCAACGCCGCGUGAGUGAUGAAGGUCUUCGGAUCGUAAAACUCUGUUAUUAGGGAAGAACAAAUGUGUAAGUAACUAUGCACGUCCUGACGGUACCUAAUCAGAAAGCCACGGCUAACUACGUG
RNAcentral lists this ribosomal RNA (497 nucleotides) under uncultured bacterium. RNAcentral's name for it is "partial 16S ribosomal RNA". It matches the Rfam family "Bacterial small subunit ribosomal RNA", at positions 28 to 507 of the family's 1533-position model. The record is from RNAcentral.